CCUACGGGAGGCAGCAGUAAGGAAUAUUGGACAAUGGGCGAGAGCCUGAUCCAGCCAUGCCGCGUGCAGGAAGAAGGACCUAUGGUUUGUAAACUGCUUUUGAAUGGGAGAAAACCUGGGUACGUGUACCCAGCUGAUAGUACCAUUAGAAUAAGCAUCGGCUAACUUCGUGCCAGCAGCCGCGGUAAGACGAAGGAUGCAAGCGUUAUCCGGAUUCAUUGGGUUUAAAGGGAGCGUAGGCGGAUAGAUAAGUCAGUGGUGAAAUCUCUGGGCUUAACCCAGAAACUGCCAUUGAUACUGUUUAUCUAGAGUACAUUUGCUGUGGGCGGAAUAUGACAUGUAGUGGUGAAAUACUUAGAUAUGUCAUAGAACACCGAUUGCGAAGGCAGCUCACAAAAAUGUAACUGACGCUGAGGCUCGAAAGUNCGGGGAUCAAACAGGAUUAGAUACCCUGGUAGUCCGCACUGUAAACGAUGAUUACUCGCUGCUUGGAGGCAACGUCUGAGUGGCUUAGCGAAAGCGAUAAGUAAUCCACCUGGGGAGUACGCCGGCAACGGUUGAAACUCAAAGGAAUUGGAGNGNGAGAGNGCGAGNACAGAGGAGAGG
This 606-nucleotide ribosomal RNA is filed under the name uncultured bacterium. Its description in RNAcentral is "bacterial SSU rRNA". It matches the Rfam family "Bacterial small subunit ribosomal RNA", at positions 338 to 942 of the family's 1533-position model. The record is from RNAcentral.